RNAcentral lists this small RNA (76 nucleotides) under Citrobacter freundii. RNAcentral describes it as "partial RtT sRNA". It matches the Rfam family "RtT RNA", at positions 56 to 130 of the family's 130-position model. Rfam says of the family: This family represents a bacterial cis-regulatory element known as RtT RNA. The exact function of RtT is unknown although it is thought that it may be involved in changing the cellular response in relation to amino acid starvation. The record is from RNAcentral. Lineage: Bacteria; Pseudomonadati; Pseudomonadota; Gammaproteobacteria; Enterobacterales; Enterobacteriaceae.
AGCGAGAAAGCGUUGCCGCAGGCAACGACCCGAAGGGCGAAGCGCACAGCGCUGAGUAAUCCUUCCCCCACCACCA